GGCGGAUGUAGCCAAGUGGAUCAAGGCA
RNAcentral lists this non-coding RNA (28 nucleotides) under Bryonia cretica subsp. dioica (red bryony). The record is from RNAcentral. Lineage: Eukaryota; Viridiplantae; Streptophyta; Magnoliopsida; Cucurbitales; Cucurbitaceae. RNAcentral also lists the same sequence under 100 other names.